Molecule: transfer RNA, 72 nt
Filed under: Ovis aries (sheep)
Lineage: Eukaryota; Metazoa; Chordata; Mammalia; Artiodactyla; Bovidae
Rfam family: tRNA
About the family: Transfer RNA (tRNA) molecules are approximately 80 nucleotides in length. Their secondary structure includes four short double-helical elements and three loops (D, anti-codon, and T loops). Further hydrogen bonds mediate the characteristic L-shaped molecular structure. tRNAs have two regions of fundamental functional importance: the anti-codon, which is responsible for specific mRNA codon recognition, and the 3' end, to which the tRNAs corresponding amino acid is attached (by aminoacyl-tRNA synthetases). tRNAs cope with the degeneracy of the genetic code in two manners: having more than one tRNA (with a specific anti-codon) for a particular amino acid; and 'wobble' base-pairing, i.e. permitting non-standard base-pairing at the 3rd anti-codon position.
Source: Rfam by way of RNAcentral
UCCCUGGUGGCUCAGACGGUAAAGAAUCUGCCUGCAAUGCGGGAGACCUGGGUUUGAUCCCUAGGCAGGGAA